Molecule: ribosomal RNA, 253 nt
Filed under: uncultured bacterium
Lineage: Bacteria
Description: partial 16S ribosomal RNA
Rfam family: Bacterial small subunit ribosomal RNA
Source: RNAcentral
UACGUAGGGUGCAAGCGUUGUCCGGAAUUAUUGGGCGUAAAGAGCUCGUAGGCGGUUUGUCGCGUCGGCUGUGAAAACCUGGGGCUCAACCCCGGGCCUGCAGCCGAUACGGGCAAACUAGAAUUCGGUAGGGGAGACUGGAAUUCCCGGUGUAGCGGUGAAAUGCGCAGAUAUCAGGAGGAACACCGGUGGCGAAGGCGGGUCUCUGGGCCGAUAUUGACGCUGAGGAGCGAAAGCGUGGGGAGCGAACAGG